AGCGAACGCUGGCGGCAGGCUUAACACAUGCAAGUCGAGCGGAUGUAGCAAUACAUCAGCGGCAGACGGGAGAGUAACACGUGGGAACGCGCCCUUCGGUUCGGAAUAACUCAGGGAAACUUGAGCUAAUACCGGAUACGCCCUAACGGGGAAAGAUUUAUCGCCGAAGGAACGGCCCGCGUCCGAUUAGCUAGUUGGUGAGGUAAUGGCUCACCAAGGCGACGAUCGGUAGCUGGUCUGAGAGGAUGGCCAGCCUCACUGGGACUGAGACACGGCCCAGACUCCUACGGGAGGCAGCAGUGGGGAAUAUUGGACAAUGGGCGCAAGCCUGAUCCAGCCAUGCCGCGUGGAUGAUGAAGGCCUUAGGGUUGUAAAGUCCUUUUAACGGGGAAGAUAAUGACGGUACCCGUAGAAUAAGCCCCGGCUAACUUCGUGCCAGCAGCCGCCGUAA
This 451-nucleotide ribosomal RNA is filed under the name uncultured bacterium. RNAcentral's name for it is "partial 16S ribosomal RNA". It matches the Rfam family "Bacterial small subunit ribosomal RNA", at positions 29 to 523 of the family's 1533-position model. The record is from RNAcentral.